RNAcentral lists this small RNA (75 nucleotides) under unclassified sequences. Its description in RNAcentral is "NAD+-I sequence". It matches the Rfam family "nadA riboswitch". The record is from Rfam by way of RNAcentral.
GGCUUCAACAUCCCCGCAGGCUGGGUGCGGAUUCGGACUUCAAGUUCGAAGACGCGCAGUGAGCCGGCUGGAGCC